CACUGAAUGAGAUUUUAACACGAAGUGAGUGGCGGACGGGUGAGUAACACGUGGGUAACCUGCCCAGAAGCAGGGGAUAACACCUGGAAACAGAUGCUAAUACCGUAUAACAGAGAAAACCGCCUGGUUUUCUUUUAAAAGAUGGCUCUGCUAUCACUUCUGGAUGGACCCGCGGCGCAUUAGCUAGUUGGUGAGGUAACGGCUCACCAAGGCGAUGAUGCGUAGCCGACCUGAGAGGGUAAUCGGCCACAUUGGGACUGAGACACGGCCCAGACUCCUACGGGAGGCAGCAGUAGGGAAUCUUCCACAAUGGACGCAAGUCUGAUGGAGCAACGCCGCGUGAGUGAAGAAGGGUUUCGGCUCGUAAAGCUCUGUUGUUAAAGAAGAACGUGGGUGAGAGUAACUGUUCACCCAGUGACGGUAUUUAACCAGAAAGCCACGGCUAACUACGUGCCAGCAGCCGCGGUAAUACGUAGGUGGCAAGCGUUAUCCGGAUUUAUUGGGCGUAAAGCGAGCGCA
This 519-nucleotide ribosomal RNA is filed under the name Pediococcus acidilactici. RNAcentral describes it as "bacterial SSU rRNA". It matches the Rfam family "Bacterial small subunit ribosomal RNA", at positions 65 to 573 of the family's 1533-position model. Lineage: Bacteria; Bacillati; Bacillota; Bacilli; Lactobacillales; Lactobacillaceae. The record is from RNAcentral.